Molecule: ribosomal RNA, 2611 nt
Filed under: Triticum aestivum (bread wheat)
Lineage: Eukaryota; Viridiplantae; Streptophyta; Magnoliopsida; Poales; Poaceae
Description: partial small subunit ribosomal RNA
Source: RNAcentral
CGGGUGAUUAAGCGAGUUCUGGAGCAUUGGGGCUUGGUUGUAGUGCAGAGUCAACGCUUUUUUUAUAGUGCAGAGGUUGAGGUUGGUAUCGAGAGGGGAGAGGGGGUCGGCGGUGUCUUGAGGAGGGACAAGGGUAGCGGCGGCGGGCGGCGAAGAGGAGAGGAGACGAUGGGGUCCGCGCUCCUUGGUUGGAGGGCUUCGUUGGCCUCACCGUUUCGCCGCCUCCUUACCUCUCUACCGCAGACGCUACCGCCCCUUUUUCUACCCCGCCCGCAGGAUGUAGGCCUAGUUCGUGCUCCUCCUCGCCGUGCUCCGCAGGACCUUCCUCGGGCUCCCGACCCAGAAGAGGCGGUGGUGCGCGUGGCUACAGCGGCGCACGGAACCGCUCGAGGCGCUGGUCUAGGAGCGACCAACGCGGAGGAAGGGCUGGAGCGGCGUGUCGUGAGGCCGACGAGGAGGCGGGCGGCGCCGCCGCUGGAUCACACAUACCAUCUUGGUUAGCUAAACGUCUUCUAUCGUACUUGGCCUUCCCAUUAGCCACGGCGGUGGCCUUCCGAGCCGUCACGAUUAGUGGCCUUGAUGUGAUGGCCGUCACGGUAGGUUUAGGAGCCUCUGCGAGUUCGAUGUCCUUAAACCUGGCAGGACGUUCUUCUUAGUCAACUCUUCUAACCUGAUACGAUGAAGAGAUUCCGACUCAUAUGUGAGAAACAACAAUUAACAUCACUAUCAAUGAUAAUAACUUAACGAUUCCACUGUUUGACUGUCAAUAACGAACUACUCGAAUGAGAACAAGUAGUGUAACGUAGGGAGAAUGUGCCCUUAGUAGUUUACAAGUGUGUAUACAUACAGGAAAUCAACAGUAAACGAGAAAAAAUAAAAAAGAAGGGAAAAAACACACCUAUUAGGUUAAAGAAUACAACAGUUACCUAGAAUUUGUAGAAGUGAAGACUAAAGAUAAAGUUUGUCUGUCACGUCGAAACUGCCGGAGAAUAAAGUACGGCUGUUCACAUAAAACAAGGUAAUCUUUAUAUAUUGAUAUAAAAUAAGGACUCUCUCGUUAGAAUAUGCCCUUAUAUCACAACAUAAAACACGUGGGAGUAAACCGUUCUCAAGUCCAAUGAUAAACAGAGACACACUUUCAAGAGUGUAAUCAAGUACGUCUUAUACAGAUAUAAAAAUGGUUCCCCAAGGUUACUAAGCUCCUGACGUAUACACGUCUAGAUCUUUGAGAAAGAAGGGUUCUACCCGUUACACGUCUAGAUCUUUACCAUACAGGGGAUACGCACAUACUGACAACCACCUCUACAAGUAUGAAAUCCUAGAAACCAAGGACUCAAUCACUCCACGUACGAGAGCUGGGACUGUAGAUGAAUGAGAUAACAGUAGAUAUCAGACAUAACACGAGACGCGAAUUACACGUAACCCACGUAUCGUCUUGUACUUAAAGUCUACGGGAAUAAACAAACUACUUUACGGAGGAACUAGACGUACGGUCCAUAAUAUCGUAUGACAUAUACCGAAGAUUCGAGAAACUUUCAAAUCCUGUGUUAUCCUUCAGUAUAAUGUCGCCAAAGGCUAAUUAUUGUUUCGACUUUCGUGUUAGAGAUAAAAAGCUCCUGUCGUUUUAACAAAAGAUCUUGACUAUCAAAGAAGCCAUAAAAAAACAAACGAAAGACAAUGAAAUAUUGACUUAUACUUAUACGUCAAUCGAAUAAAAAGAAAAUACACUAUACACUCAUUUAUCGUCAAUCGACGUACCCAAUGACACCAAAGUUCGAGUUGAAAACACAAUAGAUCGACGUCACGAUCCUGACCAACAAAGGGUUUCUCUACUAUACUGGUACUCAAAUACCGCAAAAACUCGAACUACAGAAGACAUAUUCUCUUUACUUCAGAAGCCGUACAUGUGACACAUUUGUUAGUAACCUUUCCGCUCUCCUUCUAUUCUCCUCGUAUAUCUUCAAACACUAAACAUAUCCUCCGGAACAACCAUACUAAAUAAAAGGACUACCAUAUAAGUAGAGUAAUCCUUCCGGAACAACACACCGAAACCAGAAGGAUUUAAAAAGACACUAAAAAAGAAAAGAAAAAUCCAAACACUUUGUUACUGAUAGGAUCGUGUUCUAGAUUAGUACCUUUAAAGGAAUAACAUGUCAAAAGGUAAAACUUUAUCAUCUGGAAAGAGGUAACAACUCUACAACUAUCCUGUUCAAAAGUAACGAAUAGAAUGGUCCUGAUUCUAAUCGGACCUCUUUCACACCGAACGUACGGUACAGUAUGUGUUUAAUAAUUUAAAAGCAAGAAGUAAAAAAACAAGUACUUACAACGUGAGGACCUCCACUCUGAGCCUUACCCACUAUUACCAGGACCGAUGGCCUCUUGAGAAGUUCGAGCACCACGCACGACAUUGAGGGUGACACCGCGACAUCAGCUCGGGUAGUUAAGUUUAAGACUUCUAUUGUACAUCGGACUUAGGUUCUCCCUUGUUUAGGUCAACAAGGUUCUGCGCAAGAAAAAACAUAUAGAACAACUGUCAAACGUAGAGACGGUACAAGUGAACCUGUUACGUAUAUACAUAAUGUUCAGGAAGGUUCAAGUAUCUUAUUUAAUC